Fundulus heteroclitus (mummichog) is the source of this 614-nucleotide long non-coding RNA. RefSeq lists it as uncharacterized. The transcript has 2 exons. NCBI's taxonomy places the organism in Eukaryota, Metazoa, Chordata, Actinopteri, Cyprinodontiformes, Fundulidae. The record is from RefSeq and is a predicted model, not a curated record.
GGCUCAGCAGACUGCACUGUGUUUUCCCCGGCCAGCGCAGUCUUUUUCCCUCUCCCCUCCUGGCAGGUGAUUCGAGUUGACUGGUGGGCGGAGACACACACCUGCGGCUCGUUCAGCGGCGUGCGCCGGCGCUAUAAGAACUGCGCUCAGACAGCCGAGAGAUGCCAGAUUGUUAACCUAAAGUGGUCUGCCUCCGCCUUGGGUCCCGUCCCAAGUGGCUCUCCAAGCCCGGACGUCGUCAGUCAGGUCUCCCGACAAUUGAUCUUCUGGAACCCGCUCCUCCAUCUGGUUCUCUUGGCUGUCAACGGAUCACCUUCACGCCGCUGCUGCUCGGAUCCCUCUCCGCUCCGCCGGACCGCCCACCUGCCUCUCAGUCAUCUGCGGGAGGCUGCCUCUGUGCCCGUCUUUCCACGCCACUCCCCCCGGCUCAGUUCCUGCGCUACGCGGUAAGCCCUCCCACCUCUCCGUAAAGACGUUUAGGCGUGAGAGUUGUCCGACGUCUAACGUUCUGCCUCUUUUCCGCAGAUUUCACUCGCUUCCUCCAUACCGUCCCCUCAAACAAUCCACGUUGAUGCUCCUUGUCUUGCACGUUUAACAAUAAACUUCUAAACCUG